AUGUCAGUGAGGAGAAGAAAUUACAAUCCUACCAUAUGCCAGGAAGAGAAAAAGCCAGACGUAUUUGUGAAGAGCAAUAGUGACUACCCAAAACUCCUGUGUUGGGUCACUUUAAUAAUAAGGCAUUUUAUAAAUGAACCUGUUCUAUACAAUACAGACUUUCACACAGAGAGAGACAUCAACUUCAUAUUCAUCACUGAAAUCAAUCCAAGAGGAUAUCCUUCUUAACUAGGCAUUCUGUGAGUACACAACUUAAUAUUUCAUUGUGAUAUACAGUCAGGGAUCCUGAACAAGGAUGAAUAUAAUUUAUACAAAGUCACCUUCAUGUAAAUCGAAAUUUUAGAUGAAAGUGAGAAUGGCUAUUUCUUAAUCAUAGUAUCUUCAUUAUUCCUGGUACAUCUAAGAGUUCUGACACAAGAUACUGGUGGUAAAAAUUAGUGUUGCGUGAUACUAAACAAAUCUUGUGAGGCAUCUUUUCCCUUUGCAAUUGUUUUUCAAGAUUUUUAUAUUUGUGACCAUUCAAAACUACCCCUAAAGUUACUUCAG
Molecule: long non-coding RNA, 546 nt
Filed under: Ovis aries (sheep)
Lineage: Eukaryota; Metazoa; Chordata; Mammalia; Artiodactyla; Bovidae
Description: lncRNA (ENSOARG00000026452.1)
Source: RNAcentral